GCGCUAGGCAGAAGGCGCGCGCUCCCCGCGCUGCGCGGCACCGCCCUGUGGGCCUGGGAGCGGCGCGCCUCGCGGCGGCGCCCUGCGCAAGCUCCGCAGACGCUGAGCGCGGGAGGCCCGGCGAUCCUCCCAAGGAUGCGGCGGCGGCUGCGGCGUCGAGCCUUUGUAUCCCGCGGUUGGUGUGGUGCGGUGUCUCUCUAGGCGGCAGAAUGCCAUUCGGUCACGUGUGGUAGGAGGAGAGAUUUGUCUAAAAACCUGAGACCGCUCCUAGCUCAGAUCCCUGGGAGAGAGCCCAGUUGCCCCAAGAUUUACAGCUUACCUAGAAAGACGCUCCUAUGGAAUGGUGACGCCCGUUUAUUCGCCCAGAUCGCGAAUUUGGCCCUAUCUUGUCGGAGAUGUUUGCUUAAGUGAUUGAGAGGCUGCAGGUGCCUGUUGCCUUUAUUCAAAUUAUCGGUUAAUUUUACUGUGCUCUUAUCAACAAGUGCUACAGGGACACAAAAGCCCAAUCCCAGGAUGGAUGCACACUUGGAAACUUUUUUUCAUGCCAGGAGAUGGAAUUUAUUUACAUGCUUUUUAACCCACUGGUACAGCCAGCUGAGUCCUGAGCCUGAAGAAAGAUCAGACAGUUCUCUCAAAGUGGACCUUUGGUGGCAUGCGCAGGGAACACAAGGAAUUUCCAUAACCAGAGCUCCCUGUGUGCAUGACCACUUUCUCCCCAGACCUUGUAGUAGAUAUCGGAGGAAGAACACUGGCUUUGGAAUCAGAUCUGGAUGCCACUUAAUAGCUGCGUGCUGCUGGGAGAUGUGCUAAACUCAUCCGAGCUUCACUGCCUUCUUCUUAAAGUGGUUAUAAUAUUAAACUGCUAUUAAAACUGUUGUAUUAAAACUACUGUAAGGUAAUGUAAAACA
Mustela erminea (ermine) is the source of this 908-nucleotide long non-coding RNA. RefSeq lists it as uncharacterized. The transcript has 2 exons. The record is from RefSeq and is a predicted model, not a curated record. NCBI's taxonomy places the organism in Eukaryota, Metazoa, Chordata, Mammalia, Carnivora, Mustelidae.